RNAcentral lists this ribosomal RNA (372 nucleotides) under uncultured organism. Its description in RNAcentral is "bacterial SSU rRNA". It matches the Rfam family "Bacterial small subunit ribosomal RNA", at positions 526 to 896 of the family's 1533-position model. The record is from RNAcentral.
CGUAGGUGGCGAGCGUUGUCCGGAAUUACUGGGUGUAAAGGGCGUGUAGGCGGGAAUGUAAGUCAGAUGUGAAAUUCCAGGGCUCAACCCUGGCGCUGCAUCUGAAACUAUGUUUCUUGAGUGCUGGAGAGGAAAGCGGAAUUCCUAGUGUAGCGGUGAAAUGCGUAGAUAUUAGGAGGAACACCAGUGGCGAAGGCGGCUUUCUGGACAGUAACUGACGCUGAGGCGCGAAAGCGUGGGGAGCAAACAGGAUUAGAUACCCUGGUAGUCCACGCUGUAAACGAUGGAUACUAGGUGUAGGAGGUAUCGACCCCUUCUGUGCCGGAGUUAACACAAUAAGUAUCCCACCUGGGGAGUACGGCCGCAAGGUUG